RNAcentral lists this ribosomal RNA (468 nucleotides) under uncultured bacterium. RNAcentral describes it as "partial 16S ribosomal RNA". It matches the Rfam family "Bacterial small subunit ribosomal RNA", at positions 28 to 507 of the family's 1533-position model. The record is from RNAcentral.
GACGAACGCUGGCGGCGUGCUUAACACAUGCAAGUCGAACGGAAAGGCCCUGCUUUUGUGGGGUGCUCGAGUGGCGAACGGGUGAGUAACACGUGAGUAACCUGCCCUUGACUUUGGGAUAACUUCAGGAAACUGGGGCUAAUACCGGAUAGGAGCUCCUGCUGCAUGGUGGGGGUUGGAAAGUUUCGGCGGUUGGGGAUGGACUCGCGGCUUAUCAGCUUGUUGGUGGGGUAGUGGCUUACCAAGGCUUUGACGGGUAGCCGGCCUGUGAGGGGGACCGGCCACAUUGGGACUGAGAUACGGCCCAGACUCCUACGGGAGGCAGCAGUGGGGAAUAUUGCACAAUGGGCGGAAGCCUGAUGCAGCAACGCCGCGUGCGGGAUGACGGCCUUCGGGUUGUAAACCGCUUUCGCCUGUGACGAAGCGUGAGUGACGGUAAUGGGUAAAGAAGCACCGGCUAACUACGUG